Molecule: RNA transcript, 3278 nt
Organism: Oncorhynchus nerka (sockeye salmon)
Lineage: Eukaryota; Metazoa; Chordata; Actinopteri; Salmoniformes; Salmonidae
Gene name: putative nuclease HARBI1
Exons: 7
Source: RefSeq, a predicted model, not a curated record
GGGGCCUGUUGCACAAAAGUAGAAUUAAGACAUCCGGGAUAAAUGACUCAGCUGAGCUCAAUGAAGCCAAAACAUGUGCGUCCAGGCUUAAUUGGUUGCACAAAGACCAAGCCAGGAUGAGCAGACACGGAUUCAUUAAGCCAGGUGAAACCAAUCCUGGAUAGGUGCGCGCUCACGGCUCACUCAAAUAGACCCCGCCACAGAUCACAGAUUAACUGAUUUACCAUGGCAACUAGAGCCGCGUACUUUUCCCCGUCGGAAGCACAAAUCCUCAUGGAGGCAUACGAGGAGGUAAAAGAUAUAAUUAAGAAGAAAGGCAACACCGCCACAGUGAUAAAGCAAAGAGAAAAAGCGUGGCAAAGUAUUGCAGACCGCCUGAAUGCGUAAGUAGUGCACAAUUACACACUCACCGCUCCGCUGAAACAUCACAAUUACAAUUCAAAUAUUUAAUUCACAUCUCCAAAAAUGCAGUUGUACUGUAAUUAUGAAACGGUUAAAUUUUUAAUUGAAAUACACUGCAGAUAUGAGUGAAAUUGUGUAAAGUAACUCCAUCACACUGUAUAAAGCUAUGAUACAUUUUUUGAUAUUUUUACUGAAAACAAGACAAAAAUACCAAGUAAUUUUUUGCAGUGUGACUCCAUUAAAUGUGUGUGUGUGUGUGUGUGUGUGUGUGUGUGUGUGUGUGUGUGUAGAUUAAACAUGAACGGGCCAAAACGGACAUGGCAGCAGGUCAAAAUCAAAUACAAGAACAUUCUGCAGAAUGCAGUGAAAAAGAAUACCCACAGACAAGGCACGGGUGGUGGGUCACCAAAGGCUGACCUUACCCCAGCAGAGGACAUGGCCUUGGAGCUAAAUAAAGGCAGGCCCGUCUUAGAGGGGAUCCCUGGGGGGAAAGAGACGAGCAUAGGUUCCUCCCAAGAUGCCACCCGCUUCAUUCAAGGUAUGUCCUUCCAUCUCUACAUGGGAUACAACCACAUUCAUAUUGAAUCAAUUUGGACUGUCUGACUUUGGUUUACCUAUUGCCUGGCAGCACUGUGUUCCUGUUAGAGCCACCAGCACAAGCACCAGACGAUGCUGAUCCAGGUGAAGGCCCCAGUGCAGCAGCAACAGCACAUGAUGGAGACGAUGAUGAGGAGGAGACCAUCUCUCUGGAUUCCAGAAGGCAUGAGGUAUCAUGUUAAGACUGUGAAAGUACUAUUUACUCUACAAUGGUGAGGAGUCCUCAUCAAAAUCAAAAAAUCUAAUUUAUUUUACAGGACCCAGAUGCUAUACAGUGGGAAAACCAGCCUGGCAACAUAGUGCGUAUUAAUAAAAGGACACCACAUCCUGCCAAAUUCCAGCUGCGCUAAUUGUAUUGUGUUCACAGAGCUCACAAGCUAUCAGAAAGUUGUAUGGCAACCACCUCCGGCGCCAAAUAGAACUGGCAGACAUAGACAUUCAGUACAAGAAGAAAAAGAUGGAAAAUCUUGCACUGGAGUCCGAAAUAAAAAAGAGGACAAUUAGGAAACUGGACCUUGAAAUAAAAAAACUUGAGAGGGAGCUCCAAGAAGAUGACACAGCUCAAAAUAAAAAUUAGCAAUCAGUACAACCAAGUCAUCGUUAUAAGGCAUCGCCCUCUUUUGCCCACCCCCAGCACCAGGUGUGGCCACUAGCCUAUAUGAAGGCCCAAAAUUGUGUGUUCCUUUCUGCUCUGACAAUGGCAUGCCCAUUCGUGCGAGAUGUGGUGGAUGAAGAAGCACUUGUGCUGAGGAGAGCCUUCAGGCGAGAAAGGGUCUUCAGGGACCGGUUGGACCCACUGGCCUUCCCUGAUGACCAUCUAUAUGAAAGAUACAGGUUUUCUGCAGAUGGCAUCAGGUAUCUAUGCAGACUACUGGGUCCCAGGAUUAAGCACCGCACUGCACGGAGCCAUGCACUGAGUGUGGAGCAAAUGGUUUGUGUGGCCUUGCGCUUUUUUGCUAGUGGAGCCUUCCUGUACUCAGUGGGGGAUGCAGAACAGCUGAACAAGGCCACAAUUUGCUGCACAAUAAGGAGUGUGUGUCUGGCUAUCAAAGCAUUAGCAGAUGUCUUCAUCUCCUUCCCUGGCCACAGAAGACUCUGUGACAUCAAAGAGGAGUUCUAUAGGAUUGCAGAUGGUCUGCAAUGCUGACUGUGUGAUCAGCAAUGUUGUGGCAAAAUGGCCUGGCUCAGUCCAUGACUCCAGAAUCUUUCGGGCCUCUGAAAUCUAUCAGUGCCUAUCACAAGGUGAAUUCUCUGGUGUGUUGCUGGGAGACAGGGGUAUGGCUGCCAGCCUUUUCUCCUGACACCUUUCACAGACCCCCAGGAAGCACAGCAGGCCUACAACCAUGCCCAUGCCAGGACCAGGGCCAGAGUUGAAAUGACCUUUGGCCUCCUGAAGGCACGCUUUCACUGCCUUCACAAAUUAAGGGUCAGCCCUGUUAGGGCAUGUGAUAUUACUGUGGCUUGUGCUGUCCUCCACAAUGUGGCCUGCCUGAGGAAGGAGAGGGCCCCCAGAGUGCCACCAGCCAUGGACUGGGACAAUCCGGCAAUCUUCCCUGAUGACGACAGUGGUCGGCUGCUGAGGGACCAAUAUGUGUUGAAUUAUUUUAGUUAGUAUGUGUGCUUUCAAUUUUGGUUAAAUAUGUCCUGCGGUGGCAGAGGAAUUUGUUUUUUUUUUGUUCGUUUUUUGACGAAUUUGGCCUCUUAUGAUGUUUGUGCGGUAUACUGUGUGUAAUACAAGGCUGCAGGGAGGCUACUGCAUCCAUUCAUUUGUCUGUUCAGUUGAUGUGUAUGGAUUUGUCCUGCAUUUAUUUUAGUGUGCAGACAUGCAGGGUGUGUUAUAUACAGACCUUUGAAUGUGUAUGUAUCAUUUUGUAUAAUAUGCUUGGAUUCUGUGCUUUCCAUCUUGUAGAGUCACUGUGACUUCAGUUUCGAAAGGAGCUGAUGGUUUACCUGCUUUGUUUUGUCCUUAUUCAAUAAAGGAACAUAAUGUUACACAUUGUGUUUUUAUAUUCAUAUGGAAUGUGUAUUUGUUUAUAUGACAGAGUACUAGGGCCACACUGAAGAAAAAGGAUAAAGUCAUAAAUUUAUGAGGCUGGUUCUUUCUGCAGAAAAGCUACAUAUUGUUUUUACAGUUUUGAUACUUAUGACAAUGUGAUACUUAAUAUUCUGGCACAUCAGCAUGUCUUUGUUUAUGAAACCAUACUGAAGUACAAUUUCACGAAAUGCCCCACAUCUGUCAUUUUAACAACUGUCCUCCUUUAAAACAACUGGUUACAAUA